RNAcentral lists this unclassified non-coding RNA (70 nucleotides) under soil metagenome. RNAcentral describes it as "partial internal transcribed spacer 1". The record is from RNAcentral.
UUGAUUUUAGUUAUUUGUGAACGUACUACGGACAAACAAAAAAAUAUUAUAGUCAAAAAAAAAUAAAUCA